RNAcentral lists this ribosomal RNA (256 nucleotides) under uncultured bacterium. Its description in RNAcentral is "partial 16S ribosomal RNA". It matches the Rfam family "Bacterial small subunit ribosomal RNA", at positions 521 to 776 of the family's 1533-position model. The record is from RNAcentral.
UAAUACGGAGGGUGCAAGCGUUAUCCGGAUUCACUGGGUUUAAAGGGAGCGUAGGUGGGCAGGUAAGUCAGUGGUGAAAUCUCCGGGCUUAACCCGGAAACUGCCAUUGAUACUAUCUGUCUUGAAUAUCCUGGAGGUAAGCGGAAUAUGUCAUGUAGCGGUGAAAUGCUUAGAUAUGACAUAGAACACCCAUUGCGAAGGCAGCUUACUACGGGAUGAUUGACACUGAGGCUCGAAAGCGUGGGGAUCAAACAGG